RNAcentral lists this ribosomal RNA (433 nucleotides) under uncultured bacterium. Its description in RNAcentral is "partial 16S ribosomal RNA". It matches the Rfam family "Bacterial small subunit ribosomal RNA", at positions 29 to 507 of the family's 1533-position model. The record is from RNAcentral.
AACGAACGCUGGCGGCAUGCCUAACACAUGCAAGUCGAACGACACCUUCGUGUCUGCUUGCGCACGCGUGCGUAACGCGUCGGACCCUGCCCUUAGGUUCGGAAUACCUCUCUUAAGGGGGUGCUAAUGCCGGGUAAUUUACUCUGACCACACAUUUGUCGCAUUUGGAUGGGCACGCGUUGUUUUAGCUUGUUGGUAUGGUAAAAGCCUAUCAAGGCGACGAUCCAUAGCUGGUCUGAGAGGAAGAGCAGCGACACUGGGACUGAGACACGGCCGAGACUACUACGGGAGGGAGCAGAGGCGAAUACAGGACAAUGGGCGAAAGGCUGAACGAGCAAUGGCGGGUGAGUGAUGAAGGUGGUAGGGAAGAAAAGCACGUUUAUACGGGAUGAUAAUGACAGUACCGGGAGAAUAAGCACCGGCUAACUUCGUG